CCAGGCGGCUCAGUGGUAAAGAAUCUGCCUGCAAUGCAGGGGACACAGGUUCAAUUCCUGGGUCUGGA
RNAcentral lists this transfer RNA (68 nucleotides) under Ovis aries (sheep). It matches the Rfam family "tRNA". Rfam says of the family: Transfer RNA (tRNA) molecules are approximately 80 nucleotides in length. Their secondary structure includes four short double-helical elements and three loops (D, anti-codon, and T loops). The record is from Rfam by way of RNAcentral. Lineage: Eukaryota; Metazoa; Chordata; Mammalia; Artiodactyla; Bovidae.